RNAcentral lists this transfer RNA (1541 nucleotides) under Monodelphis domestica (gray short-tailed opossum). RNAcentral's name for it is "lncRNA (ENSMODG00000045795.1)". The record is from RNAcentral. Lineage: Eukaryota; Metazoa; Chordata; Mammalia; Didelphimorphia; Didelphidae.
GUCCGAUUAAAAUGCAAAAUUUAGACUGAGGAGGGAAAAAUGAAGCAAAAUUGGGGGCGGGGGGAUUAAAGGAUAAGAAAGGGGAUUUAAAAAGGAAAAAUAAAAAAGAACUUUAGUUGGUUCCACUGGGGCUCGAACCCAGGACCUUCUGCGUGUAAAGCAGACGUGAUAACCACUACACUAUGGAACCACCACGUUGCAAAAGCCUCUUGGUUCCUUCCUUUAUAAAUACGUCACAAGCCACGCCUCUUCCCUUUUUUUUUCUCCUUCUAUCAUGUGACCAGUCCUAGGCUCGGGGCUGGAGCUACCUCCUAGUGUAUCCCCCACUCUUGACGCAGCCAGGAUUCUCCUCUCGCCUACGAGGGCUAGUCCCCGUUUCAGGCUGUUAUUGGGGGAUGGGGCGGCGACCGCCUUCCCCCUACAUAUUCCGUAGGACGCGCAGGCGCGCGCCCUCCUCCGCGAGCUUUGCCUGGAAUCCCGUAGGCGGAGAUUGACGCCUGGGGCUCUCACCUGCUGCGGGGGCGUGAAGGAACCCCCGGCCGCAGCCAUCCCUCAGGCGAGUGGGGGGGGGGUCGGAGGCAGAGGAGCCCGGCUUCCUUUAGCUCCCCCCGAAAAGUAAAUAACCUUUUUUAAAAACAAGAUUAAUUUGUAUUGAUAUUUUACAUUCCUACCUCAGCUCUCCUUUUUUAUUAUAACAAAGAAUUGUUUGAAGAAGAAAAAAAAACCUUCGGGAAAACCAGUCAAUGCAACGAAAAUAAUCGAAAAAACAUUCUAUACCAGGCUCUUCAAAGUCCAGGGAAGACAAAAGUUAGGACAACUGGAGAUGGGCAGGGAUGCAGGGGCAUCUUUGAUGUUUGAUCAAGCUCUAGAGGCUCCACAGUGCCUGCUCCAGCCUCCUUCAUGGCGGAUGGAACAACAAAGAGUGCAGGUAAAAGUUUCCGCAGAGGGAGUUAGGAGGCUAAUUGUUGCCUAAGGAAAAAGAUACCCCAUUUUUUUACCCUCUGCCCUGACUCCUAGCUUCUUGGUGGCAGCAAUCAGCAACAGAAGUAGUGUUCAGGGUCUUGUUGGAGGCCAAUUUUAAGAGCAGAGCCUCUGGGGGCCUGGAACUGGGGGCUAGAUGAGCAAUUGGAGUCAGAGGCUGGAAGAAGCAGUAUCAGCAACGCCAGAGUCAGCAGCGAGGAACAAGGAACUAAGGAGGAACAAGGAACAAAGGAAGAGUGAGGAACGAAGGACGCAAGCAAUUGGGUGAGAGAAGUGAUUUAUUUUUUCUUCACCCAGAGUCCCCUGACUAAAAAUAGCCUGGCCAAAAGGGAAAGCAAGCAACUGGGCAAAAAGUAGGAAAAGAAAAAUGCAGCAGCUCCAAAGAGAGUUGGAGUUUGUGAGGGUGGGUGGGGUAGGCAGGAGAAAUGUGGCUUAAAAAAAAUUAUCUAGGCUACCUUAAAAAAUUGAGAGGUUCUUCUCCAAUUAAUGGUUGCCAUCAAUAUAAAAGUUAAAAUUAAAUCUCUAAUAAAAAUAUUAUAUAAUUUUUUAAAUUAGAGUAC